Molecule: long non-coding RNA, 10349 nt
Filed under: Brassica napus (rape)
Lineage: Eukaryota; Viridiplantae; Streptophyta; Magnoliopsida; Brassicales; Brassicaceae
Description: long non-coding RNA (BNAP_LNC002181)
Source: RNAcentral
GUUCAUAAGACAAAGAGCAGCUAUAGAGACACCAUCUUCGUUCUUGGUCAAGUACUUGCAAACCGGACCAAGCCCGUAAAUCCUCUCGACGCUGUCUCCGCCGGGAAUGGUUCGGUUGGAGCAGGUGAGGAUGGAGUAAGACGUGAGAAGACGGAGGAUUCGGUCGAGCAUGACCGGAGCUUCGGGGUUUUUGGUCUGAAGUUUAGAAGCAAUCUCAGAUGGAGACAUCGGAGAAGAGUUCUUGGCCAUGAUCUCGAGAAGAUCAAGGUCUAAGGCGGACUUUAAAACCAUGGGAAGAACGGAGGCGCUGGCUAGCUGCAUGGCAAAGAGAGCGGCUUCGUCGUCGGUGACUUGUACCGGAGUUAUCUGUGUCUCCGCCGUUGAUCCCAUUUUUCUUGGAUUCUCUAAGAUAUUCUUGGGAUGUUUCUUUUUCUUUUGUUUCUUUGUUUUGAGAGGAGUGUGUGAUGGGUGAGAAGUAGGACGUUAAGAGGUUUAUUUAUAUGAAAAUAUAUUAUAAGAAGGUAGACAAGUGGCAUUUUUUUUUAACUCAAGUUUCUGAUCUAGCUUAAUUACAUGGUCCAAUUGAAUGAAAACAAUUCAGAACUUUUUUGUAUUUUAUAAGAGAGCCCGCUAUUUGUGAAGUAUUUCAUUUACGAUCCCUUCUACAGAAACAACUACACUUUAUUAUGUGCAUAUAUUUCAUCCAUACCCUUUAAACAUUGGAAAUGGUGAUUCAUUAUGCUGGCCCAUACCGACUUUAACGUAUUUUGUUAUAUUGAAUAUGUUAAACUUUCUAUAAAUUUCGGUAGCAGUAACUAGUCUUCCAUUUUUAGCGAGGACUUUAGCGAGUACUUGACAAUUCUAUGUACUGCUAACUUUUGUUUUUAACAAAGCAGAUUAUAUCUAAAAUUAAUCAUAACUUUUUUAAAGUUUGCAUCACUCUUACAUUUAUUAUUCUUACUAAAAAAACUGCGUCAAAUUUUUUCUUAAGUGUUAAUAAGUCAUAUAUAACCUAUAAGCUCACCAUCAAUUUUUUUUCUAUAGCAUAUCAGAUUUUGUCUACUAAAAACUUAAAAAGAAAUUUGUCAUCAAAGUUUUCUAACAAAAAAAAAAGAAUAUAUCCUAAGUUUGAUUUAAAACCGAUGAUAAAUUCAUAAUUGGUUUUAGAUUUUCAAUGUUUAACUGUUUAGCUUAAUUAAUAACAGUUAUACAAAAUAGAUUUAUAAAUAAAACAAAAAACUGUUAAACUAUAAAAAUCAAGAUACAAAAAAUGAAUGAGUAGAUGCGUUAAGGGGAAAAUGAAAAUAUGUUAACUACUAAUUAAGAAUGUGUGGAUUUUAUGUAUCAUGAAAACUAUAGAAAAUAAAUUUAUUAAUGAUCUUAACCAGAAACUAAUACACUAAAAACUAUUAAUUGAAAACUAUCUUAGAAUUAUAAACCGUUCAGAAAGAAAAAAAGGACCACUUUAAAAUUAGAUACAUCAAUAAAUAAAUAAGAAAAUCGCAUAAAAAAACUUUGAAAAUGUUAGUUACUAACACUUUAAACUUUGAAAUUUUUUCAUUAAUACUUUUAACUUUCAAAAUGACAUUUAUAUCACAAAAACUUCCAAAGUAAAAAAUUGACCUCUUGAACAAGUAAAAAAAUGAUGUCAGUUUUUUUUAAAAUAAUUAUUUAAUUAAUAAGACUAACAAAAAACUAAAUAAAAACCAGAAAAUUAAAUAAAAAUAGAAAAGUAAUAAACCUUAUAAAAUAAAUAAAAAUUCAGAAAAUAAAUUAAAUAUUAGAAAAUUAAAAAAAAAAAAAUCAUAAAUUUUAAAAUAAAUUUGAAAAUUCAAAAGUUUGAAUAAAAAAGUUUGUUUCCAUUUUCAACAGUGAUGUCGAAAAUAAUUAUUGGAGAUAUGCAAAAAAUAGUCAUUGUUAAUGGUUAUAUGAGAAACUAUCAAUGUCACUAGUGAUAUAUUUGGAAAUUUUAUUUUCACGAUGAUAUGGUAUAUUUUUUUAAAAAAAAUCUUAUAAUUAAAAAACUAUUUUAAUUUUUGAAUUUUCUAAAUUUUAUAAUUUUUUUGAAAUUUAUGAAUUUUUAUUUAGUUAUUCUGUAUUUUAAUUUUAUUUUAUUUAUUAUGGAAUUUUUAGUUAUUUUAUUUUUCUUUAAUUUUAAAUAUUUAUUUAGUUUUCCGAAAUUUUAUUUAUUUUUUUUAGUUUUCGGAAUUUUAUUAAAUUGUUCGAUUUUUAAUUUUUUGAAUUUUUAUUUAAUUUUUUUGUUUAUUUUAUUUAUUAAAUCAUUAUUUUGAAAAAAAAACUUACACAUCAUUUUUUACAUGUUCAACAGGUCAAUUUUUUACUUUAGAGAUUUUUAUGAUAUAAAUGUCAUUUUGAAAAUUAAAAGCAAAGUUUUUAAAUCUGACCCGGACACUGAACCAGACGACUUACCGGAUUGUUGGGUUACUAGGUCGACCACGGGUGAACCGCGGAUUAAUAAAUAAAUAAAAUUUAUUAUAUAAUAAUAUAUUAGGUAUGUAAAUAUAAAUAUAGAAACUAAAUUUUAAUAUUUUCUAAAAAAAAAUUAAAACAUAAAAUAAUAGUUUGGAUAUGUAUAUAUUUUAUGUUUAAAAACUUUUAGAAAAUACUUAAAUUUUCUUUUAUAUUUUUAUUUUCAUUUGACAUACAAAAUAUCAAAAAGUAGUUUAGACUAUUUAAAAAUUUCUCCAACAAAGUAAGAUUUACGACAUUUAAAAAAAUCAAGACAUAAAAUUUAUAAAUAUUUAAAUAUCUAAUUGAAUAAUAAAUUAAACUUCAAAUACAAAAUAAACCAAAAGUAAAAGAUCAUUGUAAUAAAAUGUCAAUACCGCUUCUGUGUCUGUUAUAGAGAUAUAUUUAUGGUUUUUUGGUAUAAAAUCGAAUAAACCGAAAACCGACGGUAUAUAAACCGAACCGAACCGAAGUAAAUAUGGAUUUAGAAUGGUAGUUAUAUUUUACUAACCAAAAUACCGAAAACCGAAAAAAACCGAACCUAAACCGAACCGAUAUCCGGAUUGAACACCCCUAUAAUAUAUAAGGGAUUAUUAAACAUCAUAGUUUUAAAACAAAGACGGUGAAGUAGACGUACAUAAGAGCAUUGUUUACAUAUAAAAUCAUUAUUACAUGGAUUGUGCGUGUGUGUUUUACAUCUUUUUGAGCAGCUCAAUAACGUAAACACCAAAAGCAUUGCAGGCAACAUUGAUGCCUUUGAAGCCUGAUCCUUUAGCUAAUGCCUCGAACUCUUUCUCGGUCCGUUCUUUGCCUCCAGGGUUAUGAGCCAACAUAAUGCAAUCAACAUGGACUACUUGUUUGGUCGAGAGGCUUGAGUCUGGUGUCUCUGGAAGUAUACACUCUGCUAGUAUCACUUUUCCAUCCUCUGGAAGCGCCUCGUAGCAGUUCUUCAAGAAUUUCACGCAGUGUUCAUCGCUCCAGUCGUGGCAUAUCCACUGUUACAACAAUGAAACAAAUCAAAACGUUUUGAGAUUUAAUUUCCUUGAUUAAUUACUUAUAAAUGUCAAAAGAGUUUUCGGUAUAGGAGCUUUGGUUAUUACUAACCUUCAUGAAAAUAGCAUCACCUUUAGGGACGCUUACAAACAUAUCUCCUCCAACAUGAUCAAUACCUGUAUUAAAUUUAACAAUUAAUCAAAUCUCUUAAUCAUAUGUAAAUGAAAUCAUAUAUAGUAUUGUGAAAUGUUAGGAAAAUGUAAUAUACCGGGAUGAGAAGUAGCUUCUUCAAUGACAUGUGGGAGAUCAAAGUUGAUGCCUUUAAGGUCAGGGUACUUAGAGACGAUCAUUUUGAGAGUAGCACCAAUGCCACCACCAACGUCAACCAAAGAAGUCAAACCCUCAAAACCCUUGUAGGUCUCGAGAAUCUUCUUCAUUGUGAUGGUUGAAUGGUUAGACAUUCCAUUGUUGAAGACCGUGUUGAACCUUAGAUCCUUCCCGUGGUACUCAAAAGCGCUCAUUCCAUAAGCCUUGUUGAAUGGAAUCCCACCAUCAAGAACUGCAUCUUUCAAAUGGUACCUGAAACAAGUAUCGUUGGUAUGAGUUUAAGAAAACACACACAUUCACACAAAGCUUAAUCUAACCGUUUUUAUUUAUCACUAGUUAGGAUAUUUUUUUUAUAAAUUGAUCUCCAGAUAAUCUAUUGAUCAGACUUGAUCCACCUGAGGUUGAUUAUAAUUGGUUAUCAUGAUAGAGCUGCCGGUAUGCAAAGAGAACCAGCCGGUUUGAAAUUAUGUUUCUAUAUUCCUUUGCUAGCUGCUAAAUAAUCGGAAGACCGGUUCUCUUCUUAUUAUAGUUUCCUUAAAUGAUCCUCAAUAAAGGGAAGAACAAUUACAUCUUCUCUAUUUAGAACCAUGAAACACGUUGACAAGAAAAUGAAACACAAAAUAAAAUAAUAAUAAUAGAGUGUUUUCUGCAAAAAAAAAACCUCUACAUUGAAUACAACAAAAAUAUUUAAAGCUAUGAAACAACUAGAGUACAGAGUGUGUUUUUUAAUUUUCCUCUUAUUAUUUUGUAUAGUACUAGCAAACAAAAAUUUCAACGAUAGAGCUCGCUUAACCACUAAAAAUGUUAUAUAGUUUUUUAGUGGAAGCAGAUAUAGAAAACGUGUCAACGCAUCAUUUUGUCUGAUUGUCUAUGACACUUUGUGGCCGAGUCUCUCUCAUCUUUACCUUUGCACAAUUCAAUUUUAAUCAUCACAUGAUUCACAUCAACCAAGAACCAUAGCUUAUGAAACAAAAUUAUCAAAGAAGAAGCUUUUUUUUUCUAACUUGAUAUAGCCACAAGAUCUAUCCAAUGAAGAUGUCUUGGUAAUAUCUUAAAAAACUUACCAGCUUUCCAUGAGAACCUUGUCUUGGUUCAUAAGACAAAGAGCAGCUAUAGAGACACCAUCUUCGUUCUUGGUCAAGUACUUGCAAACCGGACCAAGCCCGUAAAUCCUCUCGACGCUGUCUCCGCCGGGAAUGGUUCGGUUGGAGCAGGUGAGGAUGGAGUAAGACGUGAGAAGACGGAGGAUUCGGUCGAGCAUGACCGGAGCUUCGGGGUUUUUGGUCUGAAGUUUAGAAGCAAUCUCAGAUGGAGACAUCGGAGAAGAGUUCUUGGCCAUGAUCUCGAGAAGAUCAAGGUCUAAGGCGGACUUUAAAACCAUGGGAAGAACGGAGGCGCUGGCUAGCUGCAUGGCAAAGAGAGCGGCUUCGUCGUCGGUGACUUGUACCGGAGUUAUCUGUGUCUCCGCCGUUGAUCCCAUUUUUCUUGGAUUCUCUAAGAUAUUCUUGGGAUGUUUCUUUUUCUUUUGUUUCUUUGUUUUGAGAGGAGUGUGUGAUGGGUGAGAAGUAGGACGUUAAGAGGUUUAUUUAUAUGAAAAUAUAUUAUAAGAAGGUAGACAAGUGGCAUUUUUUUUUAACUCAAGUUUCUGAUCUAGCUUAAUUACAUGGUCCAAUUGAAUGAAAACAAUUCAGAACUUUUUUGUAUUUUAUAAGAGAGCCCGCUAUUUGUGAAGUAUUUCAUUUACGAUCCCUUCUACAGAAACAACUACACUUUAUUAUGUGCAUAUAUUUCAUCCAUACCCUUUAAACAUUGGAAAUGGUGAUUCAUUAUGCUGGCCCAUACCGACUUUAACGUAUUUUGUUAUAUUGAAUAUGUUAAACUUUCUAUAAAUUUCGGUAGCAGUAACUAGUCUUCCAUUUUUAGCGAGGACUUUAGCGAGUACUUGACAAUUCUAUGUACUGCUAACUUUUGUUUUUAACAAAGCAGAUUAUAUCUAAAAUUAAUCAUAACUUUUUUAAAGUUUGCAUCACUCUUACAUUUAUUAUUCUUACUAAAAAAACUGCGUCAAAUUUUUUCUUAAGUGUUAAUAAGUCAUAUAUAACCUAUAAGCUCACCAUCAAUUUUUUUUCUAUAGCAUAUCAGAUUUUGUCUACUAAAAACUUAAAAAGAAAUUUGUCAUCAAAGUUUUCUAACAAAAAAAAAAGAAUAUAUCCUAAGUUUGAUUUAAAACCGAUGAUAAAUUCAUAAUUGGUUUUAGAUUUUCAAUGUUUAACUGUUUAGCUUAAUUAAUAACAGUUAUACAAAAUAGAUUUAUAAAUAAAACAAAAAACUGUUAAACUAUAAAAAUCAAGAUACAAAAAAUGAAUGAGUAGAUGCGUUAAGGGGAAAAUGAAAAUAUGUUAACUACUAAUUAAGAAUGUGUGGAUUUUAUGUAUCAUGAAAACUAUAGAAAAUAAAUUUAUUAAUGAUCUUAACCAGAAACUAAUACACUAAAAACUAUUAAUUGAAAACUAUCUUAGAAUUAUAAACCGUUCAGAAAGAAAAAAAGGACCACUUUAAAAUUAGAUACAUCAAUAAAUAAAUAAGAAAAUCGCAUAAAAAAACUUUGAAAAUGUUAGUUACUAACACUUUAAACUUUGAAAUUUUUUCAUUAAUACUUUUAACUUUCAAAAUGACAUUUAUAUCACAAAAACUUCCAAAGUAAAAAAUUGACCUCUUGAACAAGUAAAAAAAUGAUGUCAGUUUUUUUUAAAAUAAUUAUUUAAUUAAUAAGACUAACAAAAAACUAAAUAAAAACCAGAAAAUUAAAUAAAAAUAGAAAAGUAAUAAACCUUAUAAAAUAAAUAAAAAUUCAGAAAAUAAAUUAAAUAUUAGAAAAUUAAAAAAAAAAAAAUCAUAAAUUUUAAAAUAAAUUUGAAAAUUCAAAAGUUUGAAUAAAAAAGUUUGUUUCCAUUUUCAACAGUGAUGUCGAAAAUAAUUAUUGGAGAUAUGCAAAAAAUAGUCAUUGUUAAUGGUUAUAUGAGAAACUAUCAAUGUCACUAGUGAUAUAUUUGGAAAUUUUAUUUUCACGAUGAUAUGGUAUAUUUUUUUAAAAAAAAUCUUAUAAUUAAAAAACUAUUUUAAUUUUUGAAUUUUCUAAAUUUUAUAAUUUUUUUGAAAUUUAUGAAUUUUUAUUUAGUUAUUCUGUAUUUUAAUUUUAUUUUAUUUAUUAUGGAAUUUUUAGUUAUUUUAUUUUUCUUUAAUUUUAAAUAUUUAUUUAGUUUUCCGAAAUUUUAUUUAUUUUUUUUAGUUUUCGGAAUUUUAUUAAAUUGUUCGAUUUUUAAUUUUUUGAAUUUUUAUUUAAUUUUUUUGUUUAUUUUAUUUAUUAAAUCAUUAUUUUGAAAAAAAAACUUACACAUCAUUUUUUACAUGUUCAACAGGUCAAUUUUUUACUUUAGAGAUUUUUAUGAUAUAAAUGUCAUUUUGAAAAUUAAAAGCAAAGUUUUUAAAUCUGACCCGGACACUGAACCAGACGACUUACCGGAUUGUUGGGUUACUAGGUCGACCACGGGUGAACCGCGGAUUAAUAAAUAAAUAAAAUUUAUUAUAUAAUAAUAUAUUAGGUAUGUAAAUAUAAAUAUAGAAACUAAAUUUUAAUAUUUUCUAAAAAAAAAUUAAAACAUAAAAUAAUAGUUUGGAUAUGUAUAUAUUUUAUGUUUAAAAACUUUUAGAAAAUACUUAAAUUUUCUUUUAUAUUUUUAUUUUCAUUUGACAUACAAAAUAUCAAAAAGUAGUUUAGACUAUUUAAAAAUUUCUCCAACAAAGUAAGAUUUACGACAUUUAAAAAAAUCAAGACAUAAAAUUUAUAAAUAUUUAAAUAUCUAAUUGAAUAAUAAAUUAAACUUCAAAUACAAAAUAAACCAAAAGUAAAAGAUCAUUGUAAUAAAAUGUCAAUACCGAAAAUAAGCUAACACCAAAUCACAUCAACUAAUUUUGGUUCUCUCUACCAUCGUUCACUUCAUUUUCUUCAGGUGGCAUAGUGAAAUUGAAAUCUUCAUCAAAAUCUAAAAAUCACAAAUUUAAAACUGAAAAAGGAAAACCUAACUUUUUUUUUGUGAGCACCUAACUUCUUAAUUGUAAACUUAAAAUAUAAAACAUAUUCUAAAAACUUAAUUUAAAACUUAAAAAAAUGAAGUCAAAUUUUUUAUUAGUUCGACCGGUGGUUCAACCGGUAUCGGGUUCUGAGUUUUACUGGGUUUUUGCAGGUUUUUAUAAAACCCAAACCGGAUUUUUUGGGUCACCGAGUUUACCGGUUCAACCGCAGAUCGGGAUUAGGUUUUAAAACACUGGUUAAAAAUAUUACUGAAAAAACUUUAAAGUUUAAAAUGUGAGUAAAUUACAUUUUUAACGUUUUUUAUGCGAUUUUCUCAUAAAUAAACUCAUAAAAGGAAAAAUGAACGAGGCUCGACACUUGAGAAGACUAUACAAAUGUAAGUGGGACAGAUGGUAUGGUGGGUAGAGCCGACACGCCAUUUCUAAUUAAUUGCAACCCACUUUUGCUUAAUAUCGUAUCAUUUUAUUCAACGCUAAAUCAUUUCAUCGACAUUUUGCUUUCAUAGAAUGUUUAGAAACAAUGGAUUGGAAAGUUUAACCUAAUACAUUGAAUUAAUUUACAUUAAUAAAUAUAUAAUUAUUUAUGAAAAAGUUCGGUACAAGAUUCUUCUUCUCAGUUGUGAACUACGUAGUAUUUUAGCUAGGGAUGGUCACAAACAUUUGUCUCGUCAUAUUUUGUUGUUUUCAACCAAUUUCGAUCCAAAAUUCUUGUUUCAUAUAAAAAUUCAUUUUCAAAAUAUAGCAAGAUGAUAUGUAUUACAUAUUUAUUUGAGAAAAAAACUUUGAGAAUAUCAUCUUGCUAUAUUUUGAACUGGGUAAGUAUUUUUAUAACAAAAAUAUCAAAGAUAAUUCAUUCUAAAUAUCGGUUACAAUUAAAAAUGCCGUUGCAAGUAAUAAUUUGUUUGUUGCAAAAAAAGUAAUAAUUUGUUAAUUAUUUAAGUUGUAGCUGGUUGUAUAUGUCCUCAAUUUUUUUUGACCGAAUUGUUUUUUUUAUAUUCAUUCACACCAACCACACCAACCAUUCUCACCUACUCCUUUGAAUUGAAAUGGAUAUAGGACCACCAGUCUCUGACGUACAUGUAUUAUGUUCGCUUAUUAUUAGAUAUGUUUUCUCAAAUUGGUAAUUUCAUUCAUUUAAUUAGAAAAUCGUGUUAUAUAUAAACGGGUUAAAUAGUAGAAUUUUUUUUAAUUAAACAUUUAAAUAUGAUAUAUGUCUAUUGAAAUUGAUAGUGUUUUUCUAAUCAGUUGUUAGCUUUGUUUUCCAAAGAACACUUUGUUUUAUAUUAAAAAGGUCAAAAGUAUAGCAUAUUUUUAUAUAAAACCCAUCGUACUAUUAAAAUCCUCCAAAGGAUAUGAACAGCUUCACACUGAGAUAAUUUAGGUUAAAUCUGUGUGAGAAACCAGUUCUAAAUUAUGAUUGGAUCAUAAAUAAUGUUUGAUAUCGGUUUAAUGAAAUUAAUAUACUUUUUAUUAUUAUUUUAAUUAAUUAAUGUGAAAUUAUAAAUUUGUAUCAAUUAUCUCAAUUUUUUAGAAAUUAUAAAUUUGUAUCAAUUAUCUCAAUUCAGAAAUUAUAAAACAUUUAGUCAAAAUGAGUCUAUAAUAGCAAUUUGGAAAGAAACAAAAAUCAGAUAUCUUAAUUUUAAAGUUCUAUUUAAAAUAAAAAGAAGAAUCCAAAGUCCUACCUACUACCGUGUUAGUGAUACGUCAUGAUCAAAGAACGUUCAUUUGUAUCAAUUAAAGGAUAAUAAAACAGUGUUAUCGAUGUAAUCUUUUACCUUUUUGGCACCUAAAUGAAUUGUAAGUAAAAUAAAUGGAAACACGAAAUGAGGUGUUCAUCCUCUUUUCUUUUUUUUUGAGUUGUAGAUCCUUUUGGUUGGUUGUUCGACAUGAAACUUAUACAACUAAUGACUCAGAACUUUUGGUAUCCCGUAUCCGUGAAUAGAAAUAAGUGUACGAGCAAACGUAUUUAUAUAUACUUGUAUGGGUUCUUUUGGUAAUGAUCAAUGUUAAGAACUUGUAUGAUUUUUAUUUUCUCUAAGCUCGUUUUAAUUUCUUCGUUGAUUUUGACAUUUUUGAACGAACUUAAACUUACGAAAAAUAUUGUUUGAAUAAUAAAAGAAAUUCUCAGGUUUAUAGAAAUUAAUACCAAAACGGUCGACUAUGGUUAAAAACAGAUUAGUGUAUGAGCUUAGAAAGCUAAAUGUAGCUAAACAUUUGACCGCUUAUUUUUCUAGUUUUUCUUCGCAACAAUCAUAAAUAAAUCGGUGAGAUAUACAUAAACGAUAAACUAGCCACAAAAUUUAGAUAUAAAAAAGUGUUUAACAAAAGAUGGUUAAGUUGCAUUUAGACAAAAUUUCGUAUUGUGCAGUUUGUGUAUUAAAAUAUAUAGUAUUAAAAAUUUAGGGUAUCAAAAUUUAUUUGAAAAGAAAUUCAAUUUCUUUCAUAAACUAGCCUUUAGACCACUGUAU